UACGGAGGGUGCGAGCGUUAUUCGGAAUUACUGGGCGUAAAGAGCUCGUAGGCGGUUUAAUAAGUCUGAUGUGAAAGCCCUGGACUCAAUCUAGGAAGUGCAUUGGAUACUGUUAGACUCGAGUAUAGGAGAGGUGAGUGGAAUUCCUGGUGUAGAGGUGAAAUUCGUAGAUAUCAGGAGGAACAACGGUGGCGAAGGCGACUCACUGGACUAUUACUGACGCUGAGGAGCGAAAGCGUGGGGAGCAAACAGG
RNAcentral lists this ribosomal RNA (253 nucleotides) under uncultured bacterium. RNAcentral's name for it is "partial 16S ribosomal RNA". It matches the Rfam family "Bacterial small subunit ribosomal RNA", at positions 524 to 776 of the family's 1533-position model. The record is from RNAcentral.